CGCGGCUUGUCAGGAGAGAGCCGACGCCACCGUGCCGAGGCCGCCGAAGGCGCAGGGCCCACCAACGCGAGUUGGCCGCCCGAACGCUCAGGCAAAAGGACUGGCAAACAUGG
RNAcentral lists this non-coding RNA (113 nucleotides) under Aquabacterium sp. NJ1. RNAcentral's name for it is "Glycine riboswitch aptamer". It matches the Rfam family "Glycine riboswitch aptamer". Rfam says of the family: This family represents the bacterial glycine riboswitch. Glycine riboswitches usually consist of two metabolite-binding aptamers domains with similar structures in tandem. The record is from Rfam by way of RNAcentral. RNAcentral also lists the same sequence under 1 other name. Lineage: Bacteria; Pseudomonadati; Pseudomonadota; Betaproteobacteria; Burkholderiales; Sphaerotilaceae.